Molecule: long non-coding RNA, 1051 nt
Filed under: Nicotiana benthamiana
Lineage: Eukaryota; Viridiplantae; Streptophyta; Magnoliopsida; Solanales; Solanaceae
Description: long non-coding RNA (NBEN_LNC013988)
Source: RNAcentral
AUGAUCAGCUUUCUGCUAUGAAUGAUUAUGAUCGAGCUAAAGAUUGGGUCAGACGCAAUGUCACCCGCUACAAUUUCAAAGGAGGUGUCAAUAUCAAGUAUGAUUCAUUACACCUUUCUUUUUUGUUCUUGGUUAAUUUGAUGUGUUUUAUGAUCUAUACUGACGAUCUGCACCACAUUGAGCAUUUGUUGAAGGAGUGGCUGGCUCCUCUUGUGCUCUUCCUGCUUAUUAGUGUUGCUUGUAAAGCAAAUGUGGGAUAUGAUUCCCUUUGCUCUAAAUUGCUUCAAAUGCUUUGUUGUUAGUUAGGAAUAUGUAUUAAAGGAAAUGGCUUUGCAAAUACACUUAGGCAGUAAAGUGAAAAAUGGAUAAAAAAUAUAUUUCCCCUUACAAAGUCGGGUGAGCCUUGAUGCAACAGUAGAGUUGCUCUUUUCUUGGCUCAUAGGUCUGGGGUUUGAGUGCGUCGGAACAAUCUCUUUGGCACCUUUCUGUUUUGUUCUUGGUUAAUUUGAUGUGUUUUAUGAUCUAUACUGACGAUCUGCACCACAUUGAGCAUUUGUUGAAGGAGUGGCUGGCUCCUCUUGUGCUCUUCCUGCUUAUUAGUGUUGCUUGUAAAGCAAAUGUGGGAUAUGAUUCCGUUUCCUCUAAAUUGCUUCAAAUGCUUCUUGUUAGUUAGGAAUAGGCAUUAAAGGAAAUGGCUUUGCAGAUACACUUAGGCAGUAAUGUGAUAAAAGGAUAAAGAAUCUAUUUCCCUUUACAAAGUUGGGUGAGCCUUGAUGCAACAGUAGAGUUGUUCUUUUCUUGGCUCAUAGGUCUGGGGUUUGAGGCGUCGGAACAAUCUCUUUGUUCUCUCCGUAGGAGGGCGACCCCUGAUGCAACAGUAGAGUUGCUACUUUUGUGACUCAUAGGUCAGGGUUUGGGGCACUGAAACAACCUCUUUGUAGAAAUGCAAGAGAAAGGUGGCAUAUGAUAUACGUCCACCUUUCCCCUGCACCCGCACUAGCUACAAAGCAUUCUUUUCACAAGUUAAGUCCUUUUGAGUGCAUAUUCUCUU